UGUCACCUCCCCUGUCUCUCUCUAUCUAUAUAUUAAAUUUUACACAAUGUAUCAUCUUAUACUUUGUAUCUGACCCUCCACAAACAUCAAGAUGGUUUCUGGCAGUUAUCUCCUGGCCAUCAUCUUCAUUUCUAUUCAGGGAUCCUGUGGACAGAUUGUGAUGACCCAGACUCCGGAUUAUAUCUCUGUGUCCCCAGGAGACACAGUCACCAUGUCAUGUAAAUGUACUACUGCUAUAGAUGAUGACUUAGCCUGGUACCAACAGAAACCAGGAGAACGACCAAAGCUUCUUAUCUAUGAUGCAAGCAGCAGAUACACAGGAGUCUCAGACCGGUUCUCUGGAUCUGGAUAUGACUAUGAUUUCACUCUGACAAUCAGAGGAGUGACAGAAGACGAUGCAGGAGAUUAUCACUGUCAGCAGGCUGCUAGCUAUCCUCUCACACAGUGA
Molecule: non-coding RNA, 448 nt
Organism: Bufo gargarizans (Asiatic toad)
Lineage: Eukaryota; Metazoa; Chordata; Amphibia; Anura; Bufonidae
Source: the annotation of a RefSeq genome assembly